Molecule: ribosomal RNA, 756 nt
Filed under: Latilactobacillus sakei
Lineage: Bacteria; Bacillati; Bacillota; Bacilli; Lactobacillales; Lactobacillaceae
Description: bacterial SSU rRNA
Rfam family: Bacterial small subunit ribosomal RNA
Source: RNAcentral
CUAAUACAUGCAAGUCGAACGCACUCUCGUUUAGAUUGAAGGAGCUUGCUCCUGAUUGAUAAACAUUUGAGUGAGUGGCGGACGGGUGAGUAACACGUGGGUAACCUGCCCUAAAGUGGGGGAUAACAUUUGGAAACAGAUGCUAAUACCGCAUAAAACCUAACACCGCAUGGUGUAGGGUUGAAAGAUGGUUUCGGCUAUCACUUUAGGAUGGACCCGCGGUGCAUUAGUUAGUUGGUGAGGUAAAGGCUCACCAAGACCGUGAUGCAUAGCCGACCUGAGAGGGUAAUCGGCCACACUGGGACUGAGACACGGCCCAGACUCCUACGGGAGGCAGCAGUAGGGAAUCUUCCACAAUGGACGAAAGUCUGAUGGAGCAACGCCGCGUGAGUGAAGAAGGUUUUCGGAUCGUAAAACUCUGUUGUUGGAGAAGAAUGUAUCUGAUAGUAACUGAUCAGGUAGUGACGGUAUCCAACCAGAAAGCCACGGCUAACUACGUGCCAGCAGCCGCGGUAAUACGUAGGUGGCAAGCGUUGUCCGGAUUUAUUGGGCGUAAAGCGAGCGCAGGCGGUUUCUUAAGUCUGAUGUGAAAGCCUUCGGCUCAACCGAAGAAGUGCAUCGGAAACUGGGAAACUUGAGUGCAGAAGAGGACAGUGGAACUCCAUGUGUAGCGGUGAAAUGCGUAGAUAUAUGGAAGAACACCAGUGGCGAAGGCGGCUGUCUGGUCUGUAACUGACGCUGAGGCUCGAAAGCAUG